CCAAAAUUCAGACGCAAAUCCUCAAGCAUCAAAAGAUGUAACAAUUGCAUGUUACAAUUAGAUUAUUGCGCAAUCAAUGGAGUUGUGCAUAAUGUAAAAAAACAAAGACUAAAGAAUAAAAAUGAUGACAUCGAUGAACUCUUAAUUGCGUCCUCAUCGUUUUUUUUUUGCCCUCCUUAGUCAAUGUUCCCUCUCAGUUUUUUUUUUGCCUGGCGUUUUGUAAACAACGGAUCUAAGGACGCGUACCACUGUACUAAGUUAGCUAUGAGGUCUGCUUUGUUAGCGAGUGGUGAUAUGGUUUUACGCAGCUGUAUGAGCUUUGGGUUUAAUUCAUCCUCAUUUAAAAAAAAAAAAAUCCUGUUCCCUUUGUGCCCAUUUGGUUUUUGUUCAUUCCGAGGACGAUGAGACCACAGCUAGCAGAAAAGAGGUAGUGUGAAAAUUGCAGCGGCGAAAUAGCAAAACAUUUUUUUUUUAACCCACUUUUGUCGCUACUU
Long non-coding RNA from Hippocampus zosterae (dwarf seahorse), 494 nucleotides. RefSeq lists it as uncharacterized. The transcript is spliced from 2 exons. The record is from RefSeq and is a predicted model, not a curated record. Lineage: Eukaryota; Metazoa; Chordata; Actinopteri; Syngnathiformes; Syngnathidae.